This 462-nucleotide ribosomal RNA is filed under the name uncultured bacterium. RNAcentral describes it as "SSU rRNA". It matches the Rfam family "Bacterial small subunit ribosomal RNA", at positions 26 to 518 of the family's 1533-position model. The record is from RNAcentral.
AGGACGAACGCUUGCGACGUGCCUAAGAAAUGCAAGUCGAACGAGGUAGCAAUACCUAGUGGCGAACGGUCGCGUAACACGUGGGCAACCUGCCCCAGAGCGGGGGACAACAAGCCGAAAGGUUUGCUAAUACCGCAUGUGAUUAGGAGUGGCAUCACUUCUGUAUCAAAGCUUUAUGCACUCUGGGAUGGGCCCGCGGCCUAUCAGCUAGUUGGUGGGGUAACGCCUACCAAGGCAUCGACGGGUAGCUGGUCUGAGAGGACGAUCAGCCACACUGGGAUUGAGAACGGCCCAGACUCCUACGGGGGGCAGCAGUGAGGAAUUUUCGGCAAUGGGGGAAACCCUGACCGAGCAACGCCGCGUGCAGGAGGAAGGUCUUCGGAUCGUAAACUGCUUUUCUGUGGGAAGAGAACGGACGGUACCACAGGAAGAAGCCCCGGCUAACUACGUGCCAGCAGCCGC